This 77-nucleotide transfer RNA is filed under the name Kofleriaceae bacterium. RNAcentral's name for it is "tRNA-Arg". It matches the Rfam family "tRNA". Rfam says of the family: Transfer RNA (tRNA) molecules are approximately 80 nucleotides in length. Their secondary structure includes four short double-helical elements and three loops (D, anti-codon, and T loops). Further hydrogen bonds mediate the characteristic L-shaped molecular structure. tRNAs have two regions of fundamental functional importance: the anti-codon, which is responsible for specific mRNA codon recognition, and the 3' end, to which the tRNAs corresponding amino acid is attached (by aminoacyl-tRNA synthetases). tRNAs cope with the degeneracy of the genetic code in two manners: having more than one tRNA (with a specific anti-codon) for a particular amino acid; and 'wobble' base-pairing, i.e. permitting non-standard base-pairing at the 3rd anti-codon position. The record is from RNAcentral. Lineage: Bacteria; Pseudomonadati; Myxococcota; Haliangiales; Kofleriaceae.
GCACGCGUAGCUCAGUUGGAUAGAGCGUUGGCCUCCGAAGCCAUAGGUCGCAGGUUCGACUCCUGCCGCGUGCACCA